Molecule: long non-coding RNA, 380 nt
Organism: Cheilinus undulatus (humphead wrasse)
Lineage: Eukaryota; Metazoa; Chordata; Actinopteri; Labriformes; Labridae
Exons: 3
Source: RefSeq, a predicted model, not a curated record
UUUGCUUGACUCCGUGGCCUGCCUGAACUAAUGCUAGACACUACAGGAACUAAAAAAUGACAUAAUUCUGUGGCUGCAAAAACUGAUGGAAAUGUUAAAGGUCUGGCAGUAAUUAGGCCUGGAUGUGGCUCCUGACAUCUCCUAAACUCAGCUUUCCAAGGAAUUUGGUUAAUCAAAGCCACUUUUUCACAUAGGGCCAGGCUCCACUAAAAAAUAGACCCAGCAUGCAUCUCCAGAGAAGUGGAGCUGCAUGGUGCUUCUGGCACACAGAAGACAGACAACAGCGUGUGCUGUGGAAAACCUAGAGACAGACUACAGAAGGGCCAAUUGGCAUGGCUGGAACACUGUGCAGAUGGAUUAUGAGGAAACCUGGUAUUACG